GGGCUUACUUCAGCAGCACAUAUACUAAAAUUGGAACAAUACAAAGAAGAUUAGCAUGGCCCCUGUGCAAAGAUGACAAAUUCGUGAAGCGUUCCAUAUUUUU
RNAcentral lists this small nuclear RNA (103 nucleotides) under Vicugna pacos (alpaca). The record is from RNAcentral. Lineage: Eukaryota; Metazoa; Chordata; Mammalia; Artiodactyla; Camelidae.